RNAcentral lists this small RNA (145 nucleotides) under Capnocytophaga ochracea F0287. It matches the Rfam family "Bacterial large subunit ribosomal RNA", at positions 13 to 158 of the family's 2925-position model. The record is from RNAcentral. Lineage: Bacteria; Pseudomonadati; Bacteroidota; Flavobacteriia; Flavobacteriales; Flavobacteriaceae.
AAGGGCGUAUGGGGGAUGCCUAGGCUCUCAGAGGCGAAGAAGGACGUGAUAAGCUGCGAAAAGUUGCGUGUAUUGGCACAUACGAUAUGAUACGCAAAUCUCCGAAUGGGGCAACCCAGUACAUUGAAGAUGUACUACAUCGUAA